RNAcentral lists this ribosomal RNA (171 nucleotides) under Clostridium sp. NMY4. Its description in RNAcentral is "partial 16S ribosomal RNA". It matches the Rfam family "Bacterial small subunit ribosomal RNA", at positions 337 to 525 of the family's 1533-position model. Lineage: Bacteria; Bacillati; Bacillota; Clostridia; Eubacteriales; Clostridiaceae. The record is from RNAcentral.
UCCUACGGGAGGCAGCAGUGGGGAAUAUUGCGCAAUGGGGGAAACCCUGACGCAGCAACGCCGCGUGGGUGAUGAAGGUUUUCGGAUCGUAAAACCCUGUUUUCUGGGACGAUAAUGACGGUACCAGAUGAGGAAGCCACGGCUAACUACGUGCCAGCAGCCGCGGUAAUA